Photinus pyralis (common eastern firefly) is the source of this 3242-nucleotide RNA transcript. It is a transcript of the gene named UPF0047 protein YjbQ, with no coding region annotated. NCBI's taxonomy places the organism in Eukaryota, Metazoa, Arthropoda, Insecta, Coleoptera, Lampyridae. The transcript has 4 exons. The record is from RefSeq and is a predicted model, not a curated record.
UAGACGAAGAUUUAGUAACGAGCCGGUUUUGCACUGCGGCAAUCCUUGUGUAACCUUUUUUUAUUUUUUCUUCGAACUAUUUAAACAAAAUUCCGAUGAUUUGCUCAUGAUAAUAAUGAAUUUAGUGAGAUAUAAAAGAAAUUUUGAAGUGUAUUAUUCUUUCGGUUAUUUGUGAAUGUAAGAAAUAAACGCGUUCAAACUGGCGACUGACAGUGGUAGUGACAGUAAGUCCAACAUGGCUUCUUCGGCUCGAAUUAUUCAGACUAAUUCCGCCUGGUUUCAAAAGAAAAUUAAUCUAAGGCCGCAGCAUCGGGGCGUACAUUUAGUGACUGAGGAAAUUUUAAGGCAGGUGCCCGAAUUAUCACAGUUUGCUAUGGGAUUGUGUCAUGUUCAAAUUUUGCACACUUCGGCGAGUCUCGCGCUAAACGAAAGUUGGGAUCCGGACGUUAGGGACGACAUGGAAAUGAUGUUGAAUAAAAUCGUGCCGGAGGGCUUAGCGUACAGACAUUCCUGCGAGGGACCAGACGAUAUGCCGGCGCACGUCAAGGCAUGUUUUCUCGGUUCAUCUUUAACUAUUCCAAUUACGGAGGGAAAGUUAAACCUGGGCACGUGGCAAGGAGUUUGGUUAUGUGAACACAGGGACCACGCAGGCUCACGUAAACUUCUUAUAACACUUAAUGGUUGUCUACGGGACGCCACAUGUACACCUCUUUCUCCCGUCAGCCCUAUGGCUAGCACGAGCAGUUAGGGAAAACACUCGGGGCAUUCAUUGUCUAAGCAUUGAUUGUCCCGAGGGUGCCGUUUACAUAUUUAAAAAACUAGUGUUGCGCACAGACUAAAAAAAUCUAUGACAAUAUGUACAUAUGUGUACAUUCUUUUUAUUUAGUAGAUUGUUUAAUGUAGGGGGGUUGAUUUUUCUGGUGCUGUACAGGCUUUUAUCAUUUGGGUGUCUCAAGUGUAAAUUAUAAUUUUAGAAAUAACGGGGUUUGACAUACACUUUUUGUAUAGAGCACGCAUUUAGGAGGGUAUCAUCAGUAACGUGGCUUCGAAUACUAUAGGAAACGCCUACGUUUCGUUAUUUUUUAAAAUCGGUACGGAAUGCGCCUCCUCAAAUCAAAUGUAAAUAAUAAUCAUUACGGGUUGUAAAUAGUGCGUGUGUGUUUAUGGACUGACUAGUCUGUCUUCCUUCCCUUAGCAAUAUCCAUUAUAGUGUCGACCUUUCCCUCCUGUGUGAAUACAACGAUCAAGAAAGUUCCGUUUGUUUCGCCGGCAUUUGCGUUUCGUAUAUGACGUACAGGGUUAAGCGCAAUGCUGGAUCCUGGUUAUCUUUGCCAUACGCGAUUUAACUACGAUUUGAGGCACGGAGCUUGGUAACCCAAGUAAGCAUUUCACUUUUGUAUGUAACAUGUUUUAUUUUUCGGAAGUUAAGUGUGUGCCGAAUUUUUUAAAAACAAUUUGACAACUAGACAGUGCUUAUUUGCGACACUGAGGAUGUGGAAAAAUUUUGCGCCGGUGAAUUAUGUGUACAUAAAAUUAGCAUUACAAGAGAGACAUCGGAACCUGUGAAAGUUACUUAUCCAAGUAACUCGAGUAUCAAGAUACUUAAAAACAAAAUGAACUUAGUUAUAGUUACUAAGUUACUUUGAAAAAAUAAACAAUUGCAUAACUAAAAGUUUUAUUUUCAUACAUUAGUUUUCAUAUACGUUGUCGUUGUUAACUAAAUUUAACCCACAAUUCUAAAUUAACGAAAUCGUGCGUCAACGGGGCGGAAAUGGUUUAUUCAAAAACAGUGGAAAUAAUUUAUUCAUUAUAUUAACAAAUUGUGUAAUAAAUAUUUUCGAGGUUAAGUGGAAGAACAGACGCCGGUAGUCUCCGCCGAACUGAACUUCGCCUUGUAGAAGUGUGUUAUUUUAUUUUUGGGGAUAAUUAAAGGCUAUAUUAUUAUUAUUAUCAAAACAAACAGAAAAAUGCGUAUUCAAAAACAGUAUAUUUAUUAUACAACGCGGAAAUUUUGUCUCCAGCACUGAACACAACUUCAAAACUACAAUGAUAAAAAAAUUGGUAUCAAUCUAUGUACUUUAAAUUUGUGGUCAGUGGCGUACUUCUCUAUGGUCAAGGGGGCAUAUUUUCAAAUGUUCAAAUGUUGGUAGCGUAUACUGCAGGAUUUCCCUGUUCAUUACUUUUGUCAAUGACUGUACAUAAAGUUAGCGAAAAAAUUCUUCCUAUUCAGAUCACAGAAUUGGUAAUGAGGAAGUGUUUUUUUUCUGUAUGUAUCUGCUCGUAAAGCAUCAGAAAAAAAUAAAAAAAAUUUUCUGGCAUAUCUUCGGAAUCUGAAUUUUCUGGUUUUCUUUAAAGCAAGAUAAUAACUGUUUAAUUGUCGGAUCUUCGGUGGUUUCUAAGAACCCCAUGAUACACUCUUAUCUUCUACAACAUAAAAAUUAUACUAAACACAAAUGUUUUAUACGAUAGUUACCGGAAUCGUGAUACUUUACUUACUCAAUUAGCCGAAGCAUUCAAGAUGAAAUAUUCCUCGCCAUAUCAGUCAUAUUCUUACUUCAAAAAUUAGCCAAAAUUUAUUAUUUUAGAAACUAUAAAUAUGACGCUUUUUUUAUUCUUUUUUAUUGUUUUUUUUUCUUUAUUUGUUUUUUGUGAUUGUCCGUUUUUUGUGAUUGUCCCAGAUCUAUUAGAAUUAGGAUUAAAGCUAUGACAAAAAGUGUUGCACGUUUAUUGUUUUGAUACAUUAAACUUUAAAAAUCAGAAUAUUAAAAUUGAUUAUUACUGAUUCUUUUAUUAAAUGAACUUCUUAACUGCAUAAUAUCCAUUGUAUUUGUUUAUUAUUUAUUUAUUUUAGAAUGAUGAUAUUAUUGUGUACAGAAUACCAAUAAAGUUAAUUAAAGGCCGCAGGCCAGCUUGGGGAAAAAGAUUUUGAUAACAAGAGACGCCUAGAUUAUUUUCAAAUUUCUAAGUUUGCCGCCAGAGGGCGUAUGAUUCAUGAUUAAGUAGAAAAUUGAUUUUUUUUCCAAAAUAUACCUAACAAUCAUGCAUACUCUUUGUGUAUUGUGUAAUCAUAUCUUACUUGAAUAGUCUUUUUAGUAAACGUGUAAACGCGUUUGAACAUUAACAUCCAUUUCAAACGAGAUUUCACAUGGAACAAUGUAAUCAUUACAUCAUACGCAUACAUAACUUUCUCGAUCUCCUGGUAGGUACAAUGGCUCACUGAAAUGAUCUGAUUUUUAUAUUUA